UUAUGUCGUUGAUGCUCAUUAUACUUAUUUUAUCUAUUAGAUCAACUCUUUGCUGCUAGAAGUGGAUUUUUUCACAAUGUGUUUUAUAGGGUCCACUUAGAAUUCCUCAGGAGAGCCUGAGAUGUCUGAAGGAAGAACGCCAUGAGCUGGAAGAGAAAUUGAGCAAGAUGAACCGCACCCAGAGUCUUACUCAGGCCUCUGGAGGACAAGGAACAGGAUCUGAGGGAGCAUCUGGACUCUCAAAGUGAAGGUUGGCAGCAACAGGCAGGUUUGCAUGUUUCGGAGAGCUGUAGC
This is a long non-coding RNA of Cyprinodon tularosa, 294 nucleotides long. RefSeq lists it as uncharacterized. The transcript has 3 exons. Lineage: Eukaryota; Metazoa; Chordata; Actinopteri; Cyprinodontiformes; Cyprinodontidae. The record is from RefSeq and is a predicted model, not a curated record.